GAUGAACGCUGGCGGCGUGCCUAAUACAUGCAAGUCGAGCGAACGGACGAGAAGCUUGCUUCUCUGAUGUUAGCGGCUGACGGGUGGGUAACACGUGGAUAACCUACCUAUAAGACUGGGAUAACUUCGGGAAACCGUAGCUAAUACCGGAUAAUAUUUUGAACCGCAUGGUUCAAAAGUGAAAGGCGGUCUUGCUGUUACUUAUAGAUGGAUCCGCGCUGCAUUAGCUAGUUGGUAAGGUAACGGCUUACCAAGGCAACGAUGCAUAGCCGACCUGAGAGGGUGAUCGGCCACACUGGAACUGAGACACGGUCCAGACUCCUACGGGAGGCAGCAGUAGGGAAUCUUCCGCAAUGGGCGAAAGCCUGACGGAGCAACGCCGCGUGAGUGAUGAAGGUCUUCGGAUCGUAAAACUCUGUUAUUAGGGAAGAACAUAUGUGUAAGUAACUGUGCACAUCCUGACGGUACCUAAUCAGAAAGCCACGGCUAACUACGUG
RNAcentral lists this ribosomal RNA (497 nucleotides) under uncultured bacterium. RNAcentral describes it as "partial 16S ribosomal RNA". It matches the Rfam family "Bacterial small subunit ribosomal RNA", at positions 28 to 507 of the family's 1533-position model. The record is from RNAcentral.